RNAcentral lists this ribosomal RNA (253 nucleotides) under uncultured bacterium. RNAcentral describes it as "partial 16S ribosomal RNA". It matches the Rfam family "Bacterial small subunit ribosomal RNA", at positions 524 to 776 of the family's 1533-position model. The record is from RNAcentral.
UACGAAGGGGGCUAGCGUUGCUCGGAAUCACUGGGCGUAAAGCGCACGUAGGCGGGUUCUUAAGUCAGGGGUGAAAUCCUGGAGCUCAACUCCAGAACUGCCUUUGAUACUGAGGGGCUUGAGUCCGGGAGAGGUGAGUGGAACUGCGAGUGUAGAGGUGAAAUUCGUAGAUAUUCGCAAGAACACCAGUGGCGAAGGCGGCUCACUGGCCCGGUACUGACGCUGAGGUGCGAAAGCGUGGGGAGCAAACAGG